AUGGAGGCGAUCGCCGGCGACGUCCACGUCCACGGCUACGGCUGGGCCGGGGUGUGGUCGGCGGCGGCCAGCCUCAUCUUCCUCUGGUCCAUGGUGCAGCAGCACCUCCCCGCCCAGCUCGAGGAGUACCUCUCCGCCCUCUCCCGCCGUCUCCAAGCGGCCAUCACCCCCUACGUCACCAUCUCCAUCGACGAGCACGUCCCCGACUCCUUCGGCCGCAGCGAGGCCUACCUCGCCGCCGAGGCCUACCUCAGCGCCACCUGCGCCUCGGGGGCCCGCCGCCUCCGCGCCGACCUCGCCGCCGACAGCGACCGCAUGAGCGUCGCCGUGGACGACCACGAGGAGGUCGUCGACGGGUUCCGCGGCGCCAAGCUCUGGUGGCGCAAGACCAAGACGCUCCCCCGGGGCAACGUCAUCAGCUGGUCCGCGCACGAGGAGGAGCGCCGCACCUACUGCCUCACCUUCCACCACCGCCACCGCGGCCUCGUCGACGCCUUCUACCUGCCGCACGUCCUCGCCGAGGGCCGCGCCGCCACCGUCAGGAACCGCCAGCGCCGCCUCUUCACCAACAACCCCAGCAGCGACUGGUCCGGCUACGAGGCGCGCGUCUGGAGCCACGUCAAGCUGGAGCACCCCUCCACCUUCGCCACGCUCGGCAUGGACCCGGACAAGAAGCGGGACAUCAUCGACGACCUCGACAUGUUCCGCGACGGCAAGGACUACUACGCCUCCGUCGGCAAGGCGUGGAAGCGCGGCUACCUGCUCUUCGGGCCUCCCGGCACCGGCAAGUCCACCAUGAUCGCCGCCAUGGCCAAGUACCUGGACUACGACGUGUACGACCUCGAGCUGACGUCGGUGAAGAGCAACACCGAGCUACGGAGGCUCUUCAUAGAGACCAAGGGCAAGUCCAUCAUCGUCGUCGAGGACAUCGACUGCUCCCUCGACCUCACCGGCAAGCGCAAGAAGAAGAAAAAGAAAGCGAGCAAGAAGAAGGGCAAGAGCGGCGACAAAAAGAAGAAGACCCCGCCGGCGCCAGGCGCCGGCAAGGACGAAGAAAACAAGGUGACGCUGUCGGGGUUGCUCAAUUUCAUCGACGGGCUGUGGUCAGCAUGCGGCGGCGAGCGGAUCAUCGUGUUCACCACCAACCACAAGGAGAAGCUUGACCCGGCGCUGAUACGACGGGGCAGGAUGGACGUGCACAUCGAGAUGACAUACUGCUGCUUCGAGUCCUUCAAAGUGCUCGCCAAGAACUACCUGCACGUCACCGACCACGAGCUCUUUCAUGAAAUCCGUCAACUUCUUGGGGAGGUGAACAUGACCCCGGCCGACGUGGCCGAGAACCUGAUGCCCAAGUCCAAAAAGAAGGAUGUGGACACCUCCCUGGCCAGGCUGGCCAAAGCGCUCAAGGAAGCAAAGGAGGAAGCGUUGGCCAAAGCACUGGCCGGGGCAGAGCACGAAGAGGGAACCGAAGAUGAUGACGAGGAGGAAGAUGACAGCAGCAGCUCGAGCGAAGAGGAGGAAAAUGGGAAGAAAAAAGAAGAGUAG
RNAcentral lists this ribosomal RNA (1545 nucleotides) under Triticum aestivum (bread wheat). Its description in RNAcentral is "partial small subunit ribosomal RNA". Lineage: Eukaryota; Viridiplantae; Streptophyta; Magnoliopsida; Poales; Poaceae. The record is from RNAcentral.